ACCAGACUCCUACGGGAGGCAGCAGUGGGGAAUAUUGGGCAAUGGGCGCAAGCCUGACCCAGCAACGCCGCGUGAGGGAAGAAGGCUUUCGGGUUGUAAACUUCUUUUCUCAGGGACGAAGCAAGUGACGGUACCUGAGGAAUAAGCCACGGCUAACUACGUGCCAGCAGCCGCGGUAAUACGUAGGUGGCAAGCGUUAUCCGGAUUUACUGGGUGUAAAGGGCGUGUAGGCGGGAAAGCAAGUCAGAUGUGAAAACUCAGGGCCCAACCCUGAGCCUGCAUUUGAAACUGUUUUUCUUGAGUGCUGGAGAGGCAAUCGGAAUUCCGUGUGUAGCGGUGAAAUGCGUAGAUAUACGGAGGAACACCAGUGGCGAAGGCGGAUUGCUGGACAGUAACUGACGCUGAGGCGCGAAAGCGUGGGGAGCAAACAGGAUUAGAUACCCGCGUA
RNAcentral lists this ribosomal RNA (448 nucleotides) under uncultured bacterium. RNAcentral describes it as "bacterial SSU rRNA". It matches the Rfam family "Bacterial small subunit ribosomal RNA", at positions 330 to 792 of the family's 1533-position model. The record is from RNAcentral.